UCGCGGGUCGUCCAAUGGCAGGACAGCGGUCUUUGGAGCCGCUGAUCAAGGUUCGAGUCCUUGCCCGCGAGCCA
RNAcentral lists this transfer RNA (74 nucleotides) under Armatimonadota bacterium. RNAcentral describes it as "Armatimonadetes bacterium (anaerobic digester metagenome) tRNA-Gln". It matches the Rfam family "tRNA". Rfam says of the family: Transfer RNA (tRNA) molecules are approximately 80 nucleotides in length. The record is from RNAcentral. Lineage: Bacteria; Bacillati; Armatimonadota.